RNAcentral lists this ribosomal RNA (536 nucleotides) under Trigonopterus sp. 181 AR-2022a. RNAcentral's name for it is "partial large subunit ribosomal RNA". It matches the Rfam family "Bacterial large subunit ribosomal RNA", at positions 1816 to 2625 of the family's 2925-position model. Lineage: Eukaryota; Metazoa; Arthropoda; Insecta; Coleoptera; Curculionidae. The record is from RNAcentral.
GGCUUGUUGACUAUAAUUUCAAGUCAGGCCUGCCCUAUGAAGAAUUAAAUGGCCGCGGUAUAUUAACCGUGCAAAGGUAGCAUAAUCAUUAGUUUUUUUAUUGAAAACUGGAAUGAAAGGUUAGAUGAAAAAAUUUCUGUCUCUAAAGAGAUUAAUUAGAAUUUUAUUUUUAAGUGAAAAAGCUUAAAUUUUCAUAGAAGACGAGAAGACCCUAUAGAGUUUAAUAUUUUUAUAAAAUAAGGAUUCUAGGUUAUAAAAAUUUAUGUUUUUGAAAGGAUAUUUUAUUGGGGUGAUAGAAAAAUUAGAUAAACUUUUUUUUAAAAAUUUCAUUUGUUUAUGAGUUAUUGAUCCUAAAUUUUAGGUUGGAAGAUAAAAUUACCUUAGGGAUAACAGCGUAAUAUUUUUUAGAGUUCGUAUCAAAAAAAAUGUUUGCGACCUCGAUGUUGGAUUAAAGUUUAUGAUUGGCGAAGAAGUUAAUCUAUUAAGUCUGUUCGACUUUUAAAUCUUUACAUGAUCUGAGUUUAGACCGGCGUGAG